AUAGGGGAGCCGGAGGGAAACCGAGUCUUAACCGGGCGUUAAGUUGCAGGGUAUAGACCCGAAACCCGGUGAUCUAGCCAUGGGCAGGUUGAAGGUUGGGUAACACUAACUGGAGGACCGAACCGACUAAUGUUGAAAAAUUAGCGGAUGACCUGUGGCUGGGGGUGAAAGGCCAAUCAAACCGGGAGAUAGCUGGUUCUCCCCGAAAGCUAUUUAGGUAGCGCCUCGUGAAUUCAUCUCCGGGGGUAGAGCACUGUUUCGGCUAGGGGGCCAUCCCGGCUUACCAACCCGAUGCAAACUGCGAAUACCGGAGAAUGUUAUCACGGGAGACACACGGCGGGUGCUAACGUCCGUCGUGAAGAGGGAAACAACCCAGACCGCCAGCUAAGGUCCCAAAGUCAUGGUUAAGUGGGAAACGAUGUGGGAAGGCCCAGACAGCCAGGAUGUUGGCUUAGAAGCAGCCAUCAUUUAAAGAAAGCGUAAUAGCUCACUGGUCGAGUCGGCCUGCGCGGAAGAUGUAACGGGGCUAAACCAUGCACCGAAGCUGCGGCAGCGACACUCAGGUGUUGUUGGGUAGGGGAGCGUUCUGUAAGCCUGUGAAGGUGGCCUGUGAGGGUUGCUGGAGGUAUCAGAAGUGCGAAUGCUGACAUAAGUAACGAUAAAGCGGGUGAAAAGCCCGCUCGCCGGAAGACCAAGGGUUCCUGUCCAACGUUAAUCGGGGCAGGGUGAGUCGACCCCUAAGGCGAGGCCGAAAGGCGUAGUCGAUGGGAAACGGGUUAAUAUUCCCGUACUUGGUGUUACUGCGAAGGGGGGACGGAGAAGGCUAUGUUGGCCGGGCGACGGUUGUCCCGGUUUAAGCGUGUAGGUGUGUGUUCCAGGUAAAUCCGGUUCACUUUAACACUGAGGCGUGAUGACGAGGCGCUACGGUGCUGAAGCAACAAAUGCCCUGCUUCCAGGAAAAGCCUCUAAGCAUCAGGUAACAUCAAAUCGUACCCCAAACCGACACAGGUGGUCAGGUAGAGAAUACCAAGGCGCUUGAGAGAACUCGGGUGAAGGAACUAGGCAAAAUGGUGCCGUAACUUCGGGAGAAGGCACGCUGACACGUAGGUGAAGUGAUUUACUCAUGGAGCUGAAGUCAGUCGAAGAUACCAGCUGGCUGCAACUGUUUAUUAAAAACACAGCACUGUGCAAACACGAAAGUGGACGUAUACGGUGUGACGCCUGCCCGGUGCCGGAAGGUUAAUUGAUGGGGUCAGCGCAAGCGAAGCUCCUGAUCGAAGCCCCGGUAAACGGCGGCCGUAACUAUAACGGUCCUAAGGUAGCGAAAUUCCUUGUCGGGUAAGUUCCGACCUGCACGAAUGGCGUAAUGAUGGCCAGGCUGUCUCCACCCGAGACUCAGUGAAAUUGAACUCGCUGUGAAGAUGCAGUGUACCCGCGGCAAGACGGAAAGACCCCGUGAACCUUUACUAUAGCUUGACACUGAACAUUGAGCCUUGAUGUGUAGGAUAGGUGGGAGGCUUUGAAGUGUGGACGCCAGUCUGCAUGGAGCCGACCUUGAAAUACCACCCUUUAAUGUUUGAUGUUCUAACGUGGACCCGUGAUCCGGGUUGCGGACAGUGUCUGGUGGGUAGUUUGACUGGGGCGGUCUCCUCCUAAAGAGUAACGGAGGAGCACGAAGGUUGGCUAAUCCUGGUCGGACAUCAGGAGGUUAGUGCAAUGGCAUAAGCCAGCUUGACUGCGAGCGUGACGGCGCGAGCAGGUGCGAAAGCAGGUCAUAGUGAUCCGGUGGUUCUGAAUGGAAGGGCCAUCGCUCAACGGAUAAAAGGUACUCCGGGGAUAACAGGCUGAUACCGCCCAAGAGUUCAUAUCGACGGCGGUGUUUGGCACCUCGAUGUCGGCUCAUCACAUCCUGGGGCUGAAGUAGGUCCCAAGGGUAUGGCUGUUCGCCAUUUAAAGUGGUACGCGAGCUGGGUUUAGAACGUCGUGAGACAGUUCGGUCCCUAUCUGCCGUGGGCGCUGGAGAACUGAGGGGGGCUGCUCCUAGUACGAGAGGACCGGAGUGGACGCAUCACUGGUGUUCGGGUUGUCAUGCCAAUGGCACUGCCCGGUAGCUAAAUGCGGAAGAGAUAAGUGCUGAAAGCAUCUAAGCACGAAACUUGCCCCGA
This 2165-nucleotide ribosomal RNA is filed under the name Salmonella enterica. RNAcentral describes it as "partial 23S ribosomal RNA". It matches the Rfam family "Bacterial large subunit ribosomal RNA", at positions 657 to 2802 of the family's 2925-position model. Lineage: Bacteria; Pseudomonadati; Pseudomonadota; Gammaproteobacteria; Enterobacterales; Enterobacteriaceae. The record is from RNAcentral.